This 387-nucleotide ribosomal RNA is filed under the name marine Metazoa environmental sample. Its description in RNAcentral is "SSU rRNA". It matches the Rfam family "Eukaryotic small subunit ribosomal RNA", at positions 587 to 972 of the family's 1831-position model. Lineage: Eukaryota; Metazoa. The record is from RNAcentral.
AGCUCCAAUAGCGUAUAUUAAAGUUGUUGCGGUUAAAAAGCUCGUAGUUGGAUCUCGGGAGAGGGCCGGCGGUCCGCCUCGCGGCGGUCUCACUGCCGAUGCCCGGCUCCCACCUACCCGGCGCCUCCCCGGUGCUCUUCGCUGAGUGUCGAGGCGGUCCGGUGCGUUUACUUUGAAAAAAUUAGAGUGUUCAAGGCAGGCCUCGAGCCUGCAUAUCGUUGCAUGGAAUAAUGGAAUAGGACCUCGGUUCUAUUUUGUUGGUUUUUGGAACGCGAGGUAAUGAUUAAUAGGGACGGACGGGGGCAUUUGUAUUGCGCGGUUAGAGGUGAAAUUCUUGGAUCCGUGCAAGACAGACUGCAGCGAAGGCGUCUGCCAAGCACGUCUUCA